Molecule: small nuclear RNA, 128 nt
Filed under: Erinaceus europaeus (western European hedgehog)
Lineage: Eukaryota; Metazoa; Chordata; Mammalia; Eulipotyphla; Erinaceidae
Source: RNAcentral
GUGCUUGCUUAAGCAGCACAUGGUCUAAAAUUGGAAAGAAACAGAGACUAUCAGAAUGCCCUUCCGCCUACCCCGACUAAUUCCUGUACAAGGAUGACAUGAAAACUCAUGGGGCACUCCACAUUUUU